GCCUACGGGACGCAGCCGUGAGGAAUAUUGGUCAAUGGCCGAGAGGCUGAACCAGCCAAGUCGCGUGAGGGAAGACGGCCCUACGGGUUGUAAACCUCUUUUGUCGGGGAGCAAAGCGAGUCACGUGUGACUCAUUGAGAGUACCCGAAGAAAAAGCAUCGGCUAACUCCGUGCCAGCAGCCGCGGUAAUACGGAGGAUGCGAGCGUUAUCCGGCUUUAUUGGGUUUAAAGGGUGCGUAGGCGGGCUGUGAAGGCAGCGGUAAAAGCCCGGGGCUCAACCACGGCGAGCCGUUGGAACUGGCUGG
This 305-nucleotide ribosomal RNA is filed under the name uncultured bacterium. Its description in RNAcentral is "bacterial SSU rRNA". It matches the Rfam family "Bacterial small subunit ribosomal RNA", at positions 337 to 640 of the family's 1533-position model. The record is from RNAcentral.